AGAGUUUGAUCCUGGCUCAGGAUGAACGCUGGCGGCGUGCCUAAUACAUGCAAGUCGAGCGAGGCCCUUCGGGGCCUAGCGGCGGACGGGUGAGUAACACGUGGGUAACCUGCCUGUAAGACUGGGAUAACUUCGGGAAACCGAAGCUAAUACCGGAUAAUUUCGAGCAUCGCAUGAUGCUUGAUGGAAAGACGGCUUCGGCUGUCGCUUACAGAUGGACCCGCGUCGCAUUAGCUAGUUGGUGAGGUAACGGCUCACCAAGGCGACGAUGCGUAGCCGACCUGAGAGGGUGAUCGGCCACACUGGGACUGAGACACGGCCCAGACUCCUACGGGAGGCAGCAGUAGGGAAUCUUCGGCAAUGGGCGAAAGCCUGACCGAGCAACGCCGCGUGAGCGAUGAAGGCCUUCGGGUCGUAAAGCUCUGUUGUUAAGGAAGAACAAGUACGAGAGUAACUGCUCGUACCUUGACGGUACUUAACGAGAAAGCCACGGCUAACUACGUGCCAGCAGCCGCGGUAAUACGUAGGUGGCGAGCGUUAUCCGGAAUUAUUGGGCGUAAAGCGCGCGCAGGCGGUUUCUUAAGUCUGAUGUGAAAGCCCACGGCUCAACCGUGGAGGGUCAUUGGAAACUGGGAAACUUGAGUACAGAAGAGGAAAGCGGAAUUCCACGUAGCGGUGAAAUGCGUAGAGAUGUGGAGGAACACCAGUGGCGAAGGCGGCUUUCUGGUCUGUAACUGACGCUGAGGGCGAAAGCGUGGGGAGCAAACAGGAUUAGAUACCCUAGUAGUCC
Molecule: ribosomal RNA, 790 nt
Filed under: uncultured bacterium
Lineage: Bacteria
Description: bacterial SSU rRNA
Rfam family: Bacterial small subunit ribosomal RNA
Source: RNAcentral